CAGAGAUUAGUUUAAUAAAAAUAUUAGUUUUGGGGAUUAAUGAUAAGAGGUAUUCUUUUAUCUCUGA
RNAcentral lists this transfer RNA (67 nucleotides) under unidentified. RNAcentral describes it as "Peltoperlopsis sagittata tRNA-Pro". The record is from RNAcentral.